This is a long non-coding RNA of Carassius gibelio (silver crucian carp), 1244 nucleotides long. RefSeq lists it as uncharacterized. NCBI's taxonomy places the organism in Eukaryota, Metazoa, Chordata, Actinopteri, Cypriniformes, Cyprinidae. The record is from RefSeq and is a predicted model, not a curated record. The transcript has 3 exons.
AGCUCCACCGAGACAUCAAUUGACUUCAGUGAUGGACCAAUGAUCUCUGACCCUCCUAUCAAUAAGAUUGUCAGACAGAGCUCCACCGAGAAGCCCAUUAACUUCAGUCGUGGACCAAUGGACUCUGACCCUCCCGGCUGCAAGCAUAAUUGAAAUCCAUCAAUUCACCCAUUAACUUCUAGUAAGGAGAAGAUACACAAGACAAUGAGAUCUGUGGCAUCCUCUACAUCCAGACUCACAUCAGAUCAUUCUGGACCGGGCCGACGGAAAACACAAUCCAGAUGUAGAUUUUACUGAUUAUCAAAGAUAUUAGCAACUUUUAUUCUCUACUUCACUUCACUUUCGAAUCUGUCUUCUUUACUCCACUACAUUUGAAAUUGGUGAGUGUUGCAGUUACACAUGACAUUAUCUGAAACUUGAUAGCCCCAUGUGUGUGUGUAUAUAUAUAUAUAUAUAUAUAUAUAUAUAUAUAUAUAUAUAUAUAUAUAUAUAUAUAUAUAUAUAUAUAUAUUGUUUGCUUCUGUUCUGCGUUUCCGUUUCUCUUUUAAUUUUAUUUUUCAUUGUUCAGCAUUUUGGAUAGUUUUGCUAUGUUUAAUGGUGAAGUGAAUCUUUCUGAACCAGCGAAGCUUUCAACACAGUUAAAUCAGGAAAAGAUUCAUUACUCUAAGCUUUUCAACAUGGUUUAUGUUGUGUCCAUCUAGUGGUCAUUAAAAUGAAGGGGGCACCUUCCAAAGUACUGUGUGUUCAAUUACAGCCGCUGGUUUCACAUAUGGAUCUACAAAUCCAUCUACAAAUAAGUCAAAUAAAUUAAACAAAUCCAUAAAUGAAAAACGUGAUUUGCCUGUUUUAACCCUGCCUCAAACCUUACACUAUUAUUUCAUAGGCAAAGUUCAUUUGAGCUUAACGUAUAAAUAACAAUAUUAAAAUAGAACAAUGCUAAAGCAUUAUAAUGUGAUAUAGCCAAAUGCAAAAGAAACAGCACUGAGGCUCACUUCAUUUAACAGACUCUGAAGCAGUCCCGUAUUUUUCAGGUGAACAAAGCUUCAGACGUCAGAGAUCACAUGCUUUUGGCAAAACGAAUCAAGCUUGGAUACAGUUCUUUAAUGUGAAAUGUGUUGGGUUUUUUAGUGCAAGCUUCGGAGCUUCCAUAUUGAAUGUAAAAUAACUAGUGUUUCUAUUUCCCCCUCUGUGCUUGACUGUGAGGAGGGGGUUCUUAAAGGGAUAGUUCACCCAAAAAUUUAAAU